This 377-nucleotide RNase P RNA is filed under the name Muribaculaceae bacterium. Its description in RNAcentral is "RNase P RNA component class A". It matches the Rfam family "Bacterial RNase P class A". From Rfam's summary of the family: Ribonuclease P (RNase P) is a ubiquitous endoribonuclease, found in archaea, bacteria and eukarya as well as chloroplasts and mitochondria. Its best characterised activity is the generation of mature 5'-ends of tRNAs by cleaving the 5'-leader elements of precursor-tRNAs. Cellular RNase Ps are ribonucleoproteins. The record is from RNAcentral. Lineage: Bacteria; Pseudomonadati; Bacteroidota; Bacteroidia; Bacteroidales; Muribaculaceae.
GCAGAAAUGAGGUCUGUCGCUUCGCGGAAUCCUUUCUGGAGGUCGCGAAGAGGAAAGUCCGGGCAACAAAGAGCACCGCACAUCCUAACAGGAAGCCGGCGGCGACGUCGGGGCAAGUGUGACAGAAAACUACCGCCUCCCCGCAAUAUGGGAGGUAAGGGUGAAAAGGCGGGGUAAGAGCCCACCGGCUCCGGAGGCGACUCCGGAGGCCGCACAUCCUGCGGGUUGCAAGGCCAAAUACACCGGCAGUCAAGGAUUGCUCGUCCAGUGCCGGGGGGUAGGCCGCUUGAGCCGUCGGGAGACCGGCGGAGUAGAUAAAUGACAGACACCGGUCCGCGUGACCGGCACAUAACCCGGCUUAUAUCUUUUCUGCAUUA